UNCCAACUGAGCUACAUCCCUACCUCCUACCC
RNAcentral lists this non-coding RNA (32 nucleotides) under Mus musculus (house mouse). Lineage: Eukaryota; Metazoa; Chordata; Mammalia; Rodentia; Muridae. The record is from RNAcentral.